This 409-nucleotide ribosomal RNA is filed under the name uncultured bacterium. RNAcentral describes it as "bacterial SSU rRNA". It matches the Rfam family "Bacterial small subunit ribosomal RNA", at positions 509 to 915 of the family's 1533-position model. The record is from RNAcentral.
CAGCAGCCGCGGUAAUACGGAGGAUCCAAGCGUUAUCCGGAAUUACUGGGCGUAAAGAGUUGCGUAGGUGGCAGAGUAAGCGAGGUGUGAAAGCGUACGGCUCAACCGUAUAUACAUGCUUUGAACUGCUCAGCUAGAGGACAAGAUAGGUCACUGGAAUUCCUAGUGUAGGAGUGAAAUCCGUAGAUAUUAGGAGGAACACCAAUAGCGUAGGCAGGUGACUGGCUUGUUCCUGACACUAAGGCACGAAAGCGUGGGGAGCGAACGGGAUUAGAUACCCCGGUAGUCCACGCCGUAAACGAUGGAUGCUAGCUGUUAUCAGUAUCGACCCUGGUAGUAGCGAAGCUAACGCGUUAAGCAUCCCGCCUGUGGAGUACGAGCGCAAGCUUAAAACUCAAAGGAAUUGACG